GCGUAACACUGCUCUAUCCUUCUCCAUGUGGUGAGCAUCAGAUAACUUGUCAUCACAGAAGCCAUCUUUGGAACCAUUAAGAUCCUGUGUCUGGUUGCUGCUAUCUGCAUUGCCUGACAGAGUCUCAUCAUCACUAGCCAUUUGAUUUUUAGCAGUAAUUUCUCCUACCUCAUCCUCAGGUAUUGAAAUAGUUUCUCCCUUCAAGCCACCAUCUGAAAUUGUAUCAGUAGUUUCUUCUACCUCAUCCUGUGGUACAGAAAUGGAUUCUCCCUUAAAACCACCAUCUGAAAUUGUGUUUUCAAUUGAGCGAGAAUCUUGGAACUCAGUUUUAGUAUGAUCAACUUCAUCAGUAGAAGGAAAAGACUGAAAAGUAUCCCAAUCGUCUUCUUCCUCUUCCUCGGAAUUGUCCUCCACCUCUUCACUGCAAGGAGCUGAAACAAUAAUUUCCUCUUUUCUAUUUUCCUCUAUUUUAGCAGGCAGUUUGAUAAUAAAAGAUGGUCCAGUGGAAUUGACUUGUUUCUGGUUCUGGUCUUGCAUCACAGAAGCACGUAUUAUAUCCUGCAAUUGUUGUCUUCUGAUCAUUGGCAUUGUCAGUAAAACCUCCUUGAUACAAGC
RNAcentral lists this unclassified non-coding RNA (615 nucleotides) under Hevea brasiliensis (rubber tree). The record is from RNAcentral. Lineage: Eukaryota; Viridiplantae; Streptophyta; Magnoliopsida; Malpighiales; Euphorbiaceae.